RNAcentral lists this transfer RNA (92 nucleotides) under Chloroflexota bacterium. RNAcentral's name for it is "Chloroflexi bacterium tRNA-Ser". It matches the Rfam family "tRNA". From Rfam's summary of the family: Transfer RNA (tRNA) molecules are approximately 80 nucleotides in length. Their secondary structure includes four short double-helical elements and three loops (D, anti-codon, and T loops). RNAcentral also lists the same sequence under 2 other names. The record is from RNAcentral. Lineage: Bacteria; Bacillati; Chloroflexota.
GGAGAGAUGGCUGAGCGGACGAAGGCGGCGGUCUCGAAAACCGUUGUAGGGGGCAACUCCUACCGUGGGUUCGAAUCCCACUCUCUCCGCCA